Molecule: ribosomal RNA, 301 nt
Filed under: uncultured bacterium
Lineage: Bacteria
Description: partial 16S ribosomal RNA
Rfam family: Bacterial small subunit ribosomal RNA
Source: RNAcentral
CAGCCGCCGCGGGAAAACGAAGGGGGCUAGCGUUGUUCGGAAUUACUGGGCGUAAAGCGCACGUAGGCGGAUCGAUCAGUCAGGGGUGAAAUCCCAGGGCUCAACCCUGGAACUGCCUUUGAUACUGUCGAUCUGGAGUAUGGAAGAGGUGAGUGGAAUUCCGAGUGUAGAGGUGAAAUUCGUAGAUAUUCGGAGGAACACCAGUGACGAAGGCGGCUCACUGGUCCAUUACUGACGCUGAGGUGCGAAAGCGUGGGGAGCAAACAGGAUUAGAUACCCGAGUAGUCCCUGUCUCUUAUAU